GAUGAACGCUAGCGGCAGGCCUAACACAUGCAAGUCGAGGGGCAGCACGUCUUCGGAUGGUGGCGACCGGCGCACGGGUGCGUAACGCGUAUGCAACCUACCUCUUACAGUGGGAUAGCCCAGAGGAAUUUGGAUUAAUACCGCAUAGUAUACAGAUUCAGCAUUGGGACUGUAUUAAACAUUUAUGGGUAAGAGAUGGGCAUGCGUUCUAUUAGUUAGUUGGAGUGGUAACGGCACCCCAAGACAGCGAUAGAUAGGGGCCCUGACGAGGGGGAUCCCCCANACUGGUACUGAGACACGGACCAGACUCCUACGGGAGGCAGCAGUGAGG
RNAcentral lists this ribosomal RNA (331 nucleotides) under uncultured bacterium. RNAcentral's name for it is "bacterial SSU rRNA". It matches the Rfam family "Bacterial small subunit ribosomal RNA", at positions 28 to 359 of the family's 1533-position model. The record is from RNAcentral.